UAAUACCGCAUACGAUCUACGGAUGAAACCAGGGGACCGCAAGGCCUUGCGCGAACGGAGCGGCCGAUGGCAGAUUAGGUAGUUGCUGGGAUAAAAGCUUACCAAGCCGACGAUCUGUAGCUGGUCUGAGAGGACGACCAGCCACACUGGGACUGAGACACGGCCCAGACUCCUACGGGAGGCAGCAGUGGGGAAUUUUGGACAAUGGGCGAAAGCCUGAUCCAGCCAUGCCGCGUGCAGGAUGAAGGCCUUCGGGUUGUAAACUGCUUUUGUACGGAACGAAAAGACUCUGGUUAAUACCUGGGGUCCAUGACGGUACCGUAAGAAUAAGCACCGGCUAACUACGUGCCAGCAGCCGCGGUAAUACGUAGGGUGCAAGCGUUAAUCGGAAUUACUGGGCGUAAAGCGUGCGCAGGCGGUUAUAUAAGACAGAUGUGAAAUCCCCGGGCUCAACCUGGGAACUGCAUUUGUGACUGUAUAGCUAGAGUACGGCAGAGGGGGAUGGAAUUCCGCGUGUAGCAGUGAAAUGCGUAGAUAUGCGGAGGAACACCGAUGGCGAAGGCAAUCCCCUGGGCCCUGUACUGACGCUCAUGCACG
RNAcentral lists this ribosomal RNA (597 nucleotides) under uncultured beta proteobacterium. RNAcentral's name for it is "bacterial SSU rRNA". It matches the Rfam family "Bacterial small subunit ribosomal RNA", at positions 164 to 755 of the family's 1533-position model. The record is from RNAcentral. Lineage: Bacteria; Pseudomonadati; Pseudomonadota; Betaproteobacteria.